GUGGGGAAUCUUCCGCAAUGGACGAAAGUCUGACGGAGCAACGCCGCGUGAGUGAAGAAGGUUUUCGAAUCGUAAAGCUCUGUUGUCAGGGACGAGCAGGGGGAGUAUCAACAACACUCUCUCAUGACGGUACCUGACGAGGAAGCCACGGCUAACUACGUGCCAGCAGCCGCGGUAAUACGUAGGUGGCGAGCGUUGUCCGGAAUUAUUGGGCGUAAAGGGAGCGCAGGUGGGAAAGUAAGUCUGCUUUAAAAGUGCGGGGCUCAACCCCGUGAGGGAGUGGAAACUACUUUUCUUGAGUGCAGGAGAGGAAAGCGGAAUUCCUAGUGUAGCGGUGAAAUGCGUAGAUAUUAGGAGGAACACCAGUGGCGAAGGCGGCUUGCUGGACAGAUACUGACGCUGAGGUGCGAAAGCGUGGGGAGCGAACAGGAUUAGAUACCCGAGUAGUCC
RNAcentral lists this ribosomal RNA (450 nucleotides) under uncultured bacterium. RNAcentral describes it as "partial 16S ribosomal RNA". It matches the Rfam family "Bacterial small subunit ribosomal RNA", at positions 354 to 796 of the family's 1533-position model. The record is from RNAcentral.